GAUGAACGCUGGCGGCGUGCCUAAUACAUGCAAGUCGAGCGAACAGACGAGUAGCUUGCUCCUCUGACGUUAGCGGCGGACGGGUGAGUAACACGUGGAUAACCUACCUAUAAGACUGGGAUAACUUCGGGAAACCGGAGCUAAUACCGGAUAAUAUAUUGAACCGCAUGGUUCAAUAGUGAAAGACGGUUUUGCUGUCACUUAUAGAUGGAUCCGCGCCGCAUUAGCUAGUUGGUAAGGUAACGGCUUACCAAGGCAACGAUGCGUAGCCGACCUGAGAGGGUGAUCGGCCACACUGGAACUGAGACACGGUCCAGACUCCUACGGGAGGCAGCAGUAGGGAAUCUUCCGCAAUGGACGAAAGCUUGACGGAGCAACGCCGCGUGAGUGAUGAAGGUCUUCGGAUCGUAAAACUCUGUUAUUAGGGAAGAACAAAUGUGUAAGUAACUAUGCACGUCUUGACGGUACCUAAUCAGAAAGCAACGGCUAACUACGUG
Molecule: ribosomal RNA, 497 nt
Filed under: uncultured bacterium
Lineage: Bacteria
Description: partial 16S ribosomal RNA
Rfam family: Bacterial small subunit ribosomal RNA
Source: RNAcentral